GACGAACGCUGGCGGCGUGCCUAACACAUGCAAGUCGAGCGGAGAAUGCAAGAUGUUUACAUUGAGCAUUCUUAGCGGCGGACGGGUGAGUAACACGUGGGUAACCUGCCUCAGAGUGGGGGAUAGCCUUUCGAAAGGAAGAUUAAUACCGCAUAAGCUUGUAGCAUCGCAUGGUGCAGCAAGAAAAGGAGCAAUCCGCUCUGAGAUGGACCCGCGGCGCAUUAGCUAGUUGGUGAGGUAACGGCUCACCAAGGCCACGAUGCGUAGCCGACCUGAGAGGGUGAUCGGCCACAUUGGAACUGAGACACGGUCCAGACUCCUACGGGAGGCAGCAGUGGGGAAUAUUGCACAAUGGGCGAAAGCCUGAUGCAGCAACGCCGCGUGAGUGAUGAAGGCUUUCGAGUCGUAAAGCUCUUUGAUCAGGGAUGAUAAUGACAGUA
Molecule: ribosomal RNA, 440 nt
Filed under: uncultured bacterium
Lineage: Bacteria
Description: bacterial SSU rRNA
Rfam family: Bacterial small subunit ribosomal RNA
Source: RNAcentral